Molecule: transfer RNA, 66 nt
Filed under: Cucujoidea sp. 15 KM-2017
Lineage: Eukaryota; Metazoa; Arthropoda; Insecta; Coleoptera
Description: tRNA-Trp
Source: RNAcentral
AAGGAUUUAAGUUAAGCGUAAACUAGUAGCCUUCAAAGCUAUCAAUAGAAAAAAGUCUAAGCCUUA